This is a long non-coding RNA of Ctenopharyngodon idella (grass carp), 5322 nucleotides long. RefSeq lists it as uncharacterized. NCBI's taxonomy places the organism in Eukaryota, Metazoa, Chordata, Actinopteri, Cypriniformes, Xenocyprididae. The record is from RefSeq and is a predicted model, not a curated record. The transcript is spliced from 2 exons.
CUCUCUCUCUCUCUCUCUCUCACACACACACACACACACACACACACACACACACACACAUAAAUAUGCACUUGUAGGCAGUACUUAUCUGUUUCAGGUGAUUAUCUGUGACCAAAACCAACCUGUCUUCAAUGCUCUGAGAUGUGGGAUGCAACAAUACUGAUAAAACUUUGGUAUCUAUUUAUAAAGAUUGAUAAAGUAACCAUCAGGGGGAGUUCAUUUAUUCAGAAAUUGCUUAGACUAAAUUUCACAUCAAACAUCUUUAACACCUGCCUUGUCAUUAUCAUUUUUAGUUUUAUGUGUUUAGUCAUUAAAGAACAUGUUCUCUAACAUCGGCCUGCUCAGAUUAUGAAGGCUUUUUUGCAAGACUGUUUGAUAUCUAAAGUAUAUUUUUAAAUUACUUUUAAGUUCAUAAUGGCGUCAGUGAAAUACAGUGAGCUGGACUCUCAUUCCUGAUGAUCUGAAAAUUGCUGUUACUGAAAAUAAAAUUGAUGGAGAAACAAUUUUUCACAUUUCUCACACUUCAUUACAAAGAAAUUAAACAUGACAUUUUGAGAUAGAAAGUAAAACAUACUCCGAUAAUCUUUUUUUUUUUUUUUUUUUUUUUUUUUUUUUUUAUAUUCUGACCAAAUCAGACCAAUAUAUAACACAAAACCGUAACUUUUUACGGAAUGAUAACAAUCUCCACAUUUGUGUCAAAAUCAAUUGUGAUUAAUAUUUUUGUGGGUAAAGUUUUUAUCAGUUCUCUGUGUUGCUUUCGCCCAUGAUGGUCAUAAAUAUGAUGCUACGGGGUCGCGAUGAAUAUUUUUCCCUGUCUGCCGCCGUGAGUUCUAAUGUAGAGCGAACGGUCACAUGACAUUUACGCCUCAUGUGAUUGGCUCAAAAAGUUCCAAAAGCAUUUCCAGCGUCAGCCGAGCAGCUGUCAUUGAGACGAAACGAAUGGAGAAUCCAGGUACAUCUGAAAUACAAACUUCUGAUACAGCUGAUUGGUUCCCGCUGUAUCAGUAGCCAAUGAGACAUUCAAAUUCUUGCCAAUAGCAGUUGCAGUUCGCUUUCAGAAACCCUCCACCUUCCCCAGCUCCACCUGUAAACAGAGGUGACUCAUGUGUGCUUGUACAGCAGCGUGUCGUGUCUAUUCUGAGUUCCUCGCAGCAGCAGCAGCAGCUAUAAUCAGCAGCAGAUCUGUUCCGCCAACACCAAACACAUCAACAUUGUCCCUCAUUACCGUCCCAAACUCUCCGAGAGUUGUCAUGACAGAACUCUUUUCUUUUAAUUGCAUAGAUGUUGCAUCAGUGUUUGAUCAGAUGAUUUAAACAUGUCCGAUUGUCUCUUCUGCUUUUCUGUAUGGCCUCAUUGUGUCAUUAAGCACUCAUAUCUACACUGACAGUGCACUUUAAGCAGUCACACACACACACACACACACACCGAGACAGACAGAUCACUUCUCUGAAUGUUCUCUGUUUGAGUGUGCAGCGAUGUGCCUCCCUCCGUUUUGAAAUGACCCUGUCUUGGCUGAACGCUCACGGCUCAUUUAGAAAGCAGAAGUGAAACGCACCCCUCUUUCCAAAUCCCUCACACUCUACAAAAAGCUCUACUCGAACAAGACCAACAGACAAAUCUGUCGUCUUCUGAUAGAGCGUGUUUUCGUACAGACAGACAUAUGCGGUGGCUGAUAGCAGCUCCUGUGGGUGUUCUCCUCCGAUGCAUCGCUCUCUCUCUCUCUCUCUCUCUCUUCUGCAAUCUGAUCACACAACGAAGCCCUAAACAAACUAUGACUGAAAGGAAGUGAUAAACAGCGUUUCCUGUAGAGCGCUGCCUAUGAUAACAGGUCUCAUGGACGGCAGUAUGAGUCAAGGUUCUUCAAAUGAAAGAGGCUUUUUUCCUUCGCCACAACAAUAGCGUCGAGCCGCUGGGCUGUGGUCAGAGGUCGCGCUGGAAACAAUAAAAACACACUGGCCGUUCCUGACGCGUAACAUUCCUGCGGGAAAACCAAAACAAGAGUGCAAUAUACAACGCCUCGUUCAUUCUCUCCACUAAAAACCACUGAAAACCCUCCACUGUCGUCACUCAGGACACGUUUGGCCUGAAAUUCACACCUCUGUGGUCAUCUCACACAUCUGUGGCGUGUUUUAAACACACACUUACUCUCAUCUGAGCUGCAGAAACACUGAACAGCGUCUUUACCACGGUACAGUGCAUGUUUGGUAACCAUGAUCAGGAGGAACAAUCUAAACAUUCAUAAAAACAAGAUACAGUGACUGGGGAAGCAAAAUGACUUAUUAUGUCUUGUUUUCUGAGAAAUUAAUAAAAAUGGGUUUUUGCUUAAAACAAGAACAAAUAUCUGCCAGUGGGAUCACAAAAAUAGCCUUGUUUUAAUUAUUAGUUUUAAUUAUUUCAUUGGCAGAUAUUUGUUCUUCAUUUUGAUAGUUUUAAAUAAUUUUGCUUCUCCCGUAAAUGUACUUGAUUUAAGGUUAUUAUAGUUAAACAAACUACAACCAUAAAAAAAUAUUUUUGUUGCUUGGAAUAAAAGAAUACAUAUAUAUAUAUAUAUAUAUAUAAAGGGGCUAUAUGCAGAAUUCAGAAACGCUAGUAUUUAGCGACACCGGUGGCCGUUAAGUGAACUGCAGCAGGAACUUCCUGCUCGUGCUCGCGCACACGUAGAGACACAACGCGAUUCAAGGCCCGAUAUAUUCGCAGUGAGGUUCUUUUUUGUUCUUUGCUUAGAAGUAAAAAGAAGUUGGAAAUACCUUAAUUUGCAGCAAUGUACUGUUAACGAACAUCCCGACGCCUCUACGCAAAAAUGACAGAAAGCAGCAGUUCAGAAAGCAUCUGAUCGUAAGUGAUGUGGAUAUGUUUGAACCAGCUCUGCGAUUCACCGACAGAUGUCGACAGAUGAGAACACACUCUCUCACACACACACACUCGCGGGCGCAGACAGUGUGACAGUGUUUUCUCAGCUCCUGUGAUUAGGAUCUCUCGUCACUGGACCAGCCCUCUUCUCCUCAGGCUGAAAUCCCCUCAGAACGUCCUUCACUCGCUGUGAGAAAACAACAUGAACAUUUUAUCUUCACGCCAGUGAUUACACGUACUCGACUUCCCUAAAGCAGCAGAUACAGCUCUUCAUGAGCCCUUCUAUAUUUACUUUUGAUUUGCUAUUGAAGUCAUGAAAUGUAAACUUUCUGCAAGAGGCUGUUUUUAGUUUUCUGCAUGUAAAGCUGCUUUGAAACAAAGUCUUUUGUGAGAAGUGCAGAAAUUGACUUUCUUAAUUCCUGUUCCUGGUCUUAUUGUGACUGAUCCAAAAAAUAAAUGCUGGUCUUAAUCAUAAUGCGACUUUCCUCCGAAACGACUUUCCUUUCCAGCUGAUGUCAUCAGUCCCUCAAACCCGUCUUUUGCUUUGUAUCAAGACUUUGCACGACUCUAAACUUAUUUUAACUAAAAAUUAAAAUGAAACUGGGAAAAAAGUUAAAUAAAAGUAUUAAUUACAUUAAUAAUUCACAUGUCAUUUAAUGACAUACCAAGCCAUAAUUGAGAUUAUGACAUACUAUGUGAUAAUUAUGAGACUAAAAAGUGGAAAUUAUUACUUUCUAUGUCAUAAUGAUUAUUUUUUAAGUCAUUAUUUAAACUUUUAGGCCCGGUUUCACAGACGGGGUUAGGCCUUAGUUCAGUCAGGAUAUUUAAGUAACUUUUAUAAACGUACACUUGAAAAUACAUUACUGGUGUGCAGCUUGAGAUGAAACAAUGGCUCUGAUAUAUUUUAAGAAAUAUCAGUACAAGUUGAUUUCAGUUAAAACAGCUCAAACAUGCAGUUCAGUCUCAGACUAGCUUAACCCUUGUCUGUGAAACCGGGGGCGAAUGUCAAUUUCGGCUCUAUUGUGUCAUAACUUCAACUUUUAUGUUAUAAUUAUGAUUUUUUUUUUAUAAUUAUUUUGAAUUUUAUCAUAAUUAUGGCUGUCAAUUAUGACUUUGUAUGUCAAAAUUUCAACUUUUUAUAUCAUAAUUUUGAUAUUUUUUUACUUUUCAUGUCAUAAUUUUCACAUAGAAUGCCAUAAUUUCAACUUUCCAUCUCAUAAAUAUGGCAUAGUAUGUUGUAGUUUUGACUUUUUAUCUCAUAAUCGAUUUACAGAAGCAUGAUUUUUUUUCUUAUGUGGCGGAAAUGGGCUUCCAGAGCUGUUUCAAACACGCAUCUGAUGCAGUUCUGUGCAGUUCCUCUAGGGGCGCAUAAAUCACACCUUUUAGGUCUCUUAACACUAUUACCUCACAACAGCAGCAUCACUAGACUUCUGUAAGCUCGAGUCAUGAAGUCUGCAGCCUCCGGCGUUGCUUCAGACCCUACAGCUAAACCUUUAAACACAUUUAGGCUUUCUGUCGGUUAAAUUGACCUCCUGCGGGUGGACGGGGAUGUUUUAAACGUGUGCCCUGUGCUCCACUGACUCCAUUGAGAUGAAUCUGCUGGUGAGCGGCCGGCCGGCGUUCCUCGGCCCUAAUUUAAGAGCGUUUCCUCACAUUCUCAUCUGUGUUUUCACAGCCCGCCGUGGGCCAAAGGGGAAGCAAAACAAAUUAGCCACCAUUGUUCGUAGCCCUGAGCUCUCCCAAUAACAGUAUUUGUGGAAACAUACAUGCAGGAAUAACUUCCUGAGCCACACAGAUUAAUUGUCUAAGGACCGGGGAAAUCAAGCACUUACUAGCAGCCUUACAAGGGCCUUGAAGUCCAGACUCUCUCCCGCUCUGUCAUCACUGCUGUUGUGCCACAUCCCAUCAUUUCUGAGGAAACGGGGCGAGUGUGUGUGUGUGUGUGUGUGUGUGUAGGAGAGAGAGAGUGAGUUGACAGUGCAGAAUGCUGAAAACAGGAUACGAGCUCUCAGUGAAUAAAGGCCGUGUUCAGAAACAUAUUCAUGUUUCAAAUGGAGGAUCUCCUGUUGACAAGUUUAUGUGACUAGAUCAGACAGAUCAGAACCUCGUGAGCUGCUGGAUUCUAAAGGGAUUUUCAAAUAAUCGAAACAUUCAAAAAAAAGAUGAAGCAGAAUGGAACGGAAUAAAGAGGGAAAAACAUUUUUUUCAUGUUUUGAAAACGAAGCCAUCACGUGAAACUGGUCUCAAGGAUGAUCUACACUCCAUAAAAUAGUUUGUUCAAUGAACUUAAUUAAAUUAAUGAAGACUUUUCCAUGUAAUUAGUUGACAUCAGUACAAUAAGAAGUUUGUGUGUCAUAAUAGCCAUACUUCAGUUGUUGUGUGUAUUUUUGGAUCUCUGUCAUGAGGGAAGAGUUCUUUCUCUUUGGCGCUGUUGACUCUGUCCUCGAGUAAAUAAAUCCUGUGUUUGACACA